Long non-coding RNA from Oncorhynchus tshawytscha (Chinook salmon), 480 nucleotides. RefSeq lists it as uncharacterized. The record is from RefSeq and is a predicted model, not a curated record. The transcript is spliced from 4 exons. Lineage: Eukaryota; Metazoa; Chordata; Actinopteri; Salmoniformes; Salmonidae.
GGAGCGCGCUCUGAGAAUAAAUUCUGUUACCUAUUAUUUAAAAAGACUGGUCUCCUUCUAUUUUAUGCAAACAAGAAUCUUACAAAUUCUCAUAAAAUAGAUUAAGGGUAUUCAAUUAAUGAAAGCACAUUGGCAUAAUUAAAUUAUAUUAACACCUUGUGACCAAGGACUGCCGGGGGUUCAAAGGGGGAACCUGGAGAGCCCAGUCCCAAAGGAAGCCAAGUACAAAACAACACGUGUGUUUAGUCCUUUUGCUUUUUAGAUGUGUUCAUGACUUAUAUUUUAAGAAACAGCAGUUAAUGGUGUUUUCAUUUUUCAUCGUCACCCUCCCAUUCUCUUUCUCUGGGGUGAGAGGGGGAAUAACGGUGUGCCUGAGACCCCUGGGACAAGCGGUGAAACUGGGCUCAGAGGCAGCAAAGGAGAGGUCUACAGGCUGCUCGUUAUGGCGCACACCUGUUACCAUCGUUACGCGCACCUGCA